AGUGAACGCUGGCGGUAGGCCUAACACAUGCAAGUCGAACGGCAGCACAGUAAGAGCUUGCUCUUACGGGUGGCGAGUGGCGGACGGGUGAGGAAUACAUCGGAAUCUACUUUUUCGUGGGGGAUAACGUAGGGAAACUUACGCUAAUACCGCAUACGACCUACGGGUGAAAGCAGGGGAUCUUCGGACCUUGCGCGAUUGAAUGAGUCGAUGUCGGAUUAGCUAGUUGGCGGGGUAAAGGCCCACCAAGGCGACGAUCCGUAGCUGGUCUGAGAGGAUGAUCAGCCACACUGGAACUGAGACACGGUCCAGACGCCUACGGGAGGCAGCAGUGGGGAAUAUUGGACAAUGGGCGCAAGCCUGAUCCAGCCAUACCGCGUGGGUGAAGAAGGCCUUCGGGUUGUAAAGCCCUUUUGUUGGGAAAGAAAAGCAGCAGGUUAAUACCCAGCUGUUCUGACGGUACCCAAAGAAUAAGCACCGGCUAACUUCGUG
RNAcentral lists this ribosomal RNA (492 nucleotides) under uncultured bacterium. RNAcentral's name for it is "partial 16S ribosomal RNA". It matches the Rfam family "Bacterial small subunit ribosomal RNA", at positions 29 to 507 of the family's 1533-position model. The record is from RNAcentral.